CCUACGGGAGGUAGCAGUGGGGAAUAUUGCACAAUGGGGGAAACCCUGAUGCAGCGACGCCGCGUGAGUGAAGAAGUAUUUCGGUACGUAAAGCUCUAUCAGCAGGGAAGAAAAUGACGGUACCUGACUAAGAAGCCCCGGCUAACUACGUGCCAGCAGCCGCGGUAAUACGUAGGGGGCAAGCGUUAUCCGGAUUUACUGGGUGUAAAGGGAGCGUAGACGGCAGCGCAAGUCUGGAGUGAAAUCCCAUGGCUUAACCAUGGAACUGCUUUGGAAACUGUGCAGCUAGAGUGCAGGAGAGGUAAGCGGAAUUCCUAGUGUAGCGGUGAAAUGCGUAGAUAUUAGGAGGAACACCAGUGGCGAAGGCGGCUUACUGGACUGUAACUGACGUUGAGGCUCGAAAGCGUGGGGAGCAAACAGGAUUAGAUACCCCAGUAGUC
RNAcentral lists this ribosomal RNA (440 nucleotides) under uncultured bacterium. Its description in RNAcentral is "partial 16S ribosomal RNA". It matches the Rfam family "Bacterial small subunit ribosomal RNA", at positions 338 to 795 of the family's 1533-position model. The record is from RNAcentral.